GUGGAUUAGAUACCCUAGUAGUCCACGCCCUAAACGAUGUCAACUAGGUGUUGGGAGGGUUAAACCUUUUAGUACCGUAGCUAACGCGUGAAGUUGACCGCCUGGGGAGUACGGCCGCAAGGUUAAAACUCAAAGGAAUUGACGGGGACCCGCACAAGCGGUGGAUGAUGUGGAUUAAUUCGAUGCAACGCGAAAAACCUUACCUACCCUUGACAUGCCAGGAACUUGCCAGAGAUGGCUUGGUGCCCGAAAGGGAGCCUGGACACAGGUGCUGCACGGCCGUCGCCAGCU
RNAcentral lists this ribosomal RNA (291 nucleotides) under uncultured bacterium. RNAcentral describes it as "partial 16S ribosomal RNA". It matches the Rfam family "Bacterial small subunit ribosomal RNA", at positions 773 to 1060 of the family's 1533-position model. The record is from RNAcentral.